This 497-nucleotide ribosomal RNA is filed under the name uncultured bacterium. RNAcentral's name for it is "partial 16S ribosomal RNA". It matches the Rfam family "Bacterial small subunit ribosomal RNA", at positions 28 to 507 of the family's 1533-position model. The record is from RNAcentral.
GACGAACGCUGGCGGCGUGCCUAAUACAUGCAAGUUGAGCGCUGAAGGUUGGUACUUGUACCAACUGGAUGAGCAGCGAACGGGUGAGUAACGCGUGGGGAAUCUGCCUUUGAGCGGGGGACAACAUUUGGAAACGAAUGCUAAUACCGCAUAAAAACUUUAAACACAAGUUUUAAGUUUGAAAGAUGCAAUUGCAUCACUCAAAGAUGAUCCCGCGUUGUAUUAGCUAGUUGGUGAGGUAAAGGCUCACCAAGGCGAUGAUACAUAGCCGACCUGAGAGGGUGGUCGGCCACAUUGGGACUGAGACACGGCCCAAACUCCUACGGGAGGCAGCAGUAGGGAAUCUUCGGCAAUAGACGAAAGGCUGACCGAGCAACGCCGCGUGAGUGAAGAAGGGUUUCGGAUCGUAAAACUCUGUUGGUAGAGAAGAACGUUGGUGAGAGUGGAAAGCUCAUCAAGUGACGGUAACUACCCAGAAAGGGACGGCUAACUACGUG